UGUUGCCUACGGGGGGCAGUAGUGGGGAAUAUUGCACAAUGGGGGAAACCCUGAUGCAGCGACGCCGCGUGAGUGAAGAAGUAUUUCGGUAUGUAAAGCUCUAUCAGCAGGGAAGAUAAUGACGGUACCUGACUAAGAAGCUCCGGCUAAAUACGUGCCAGCAGCCGCGGUAAUACGUAUGGAGCAAGCGUUAUCCGGAUUUACUGGGUGUAAAGGGAGCGUAGACGGUGCAGCAAGUCUGAUGUGAAAGGUCGGGGCCCAACCCCGGGACUGCAUUGGAAACUGUUGAACUGGAGUACAGGAGG
RNAcentral lists this ribosomal RNA (305 nucleotides) under uncultured bacterium. RNAcentral describes it as "bacterial SSU rRNA". It matches the Rfam family "Bacterial small subunit ribosomal RNA", at positions 333 to 655 of the family's 1533-position model. The record is from RNAcentral.